CCAAAAYGACUCUCGGCAACGGAUAUCUCGGCUCUCGCAUCGAUGAAGAACGUAGCGAAAUGCGAUACUUGGUGUGAAUUGCAGAAUCCCGUGAACCAUCGAGUCUUUGAACGCAAGUUGCGCCCGAAGCCAUCRGGCCGAGGGCACGCCUGCCUGGGCGU
RNAcentral lists this ribosomal RNA (161 nucleotides) under Oxera crassifolia. RNAcentral's name for it is "5.8S ribosomal RNA". It matches the Rfam family "5.8S ribosomal RNA". Rfam says of the family: 5.8S ribosomal RNA (5.8S rRNA) is a component of the large subunit of the eukaryotic ribosome. It is transcribed by RNA polymerase I as part of the 45S precursor that also contains 18S and 28S rRNA. The record is from RNAcentral. Lineage: Eukaryota; Viridiplantae; Streptophyta; Magnoliopsida; Lamiales; Lamiaceae.